GAACUUUGUUGAGUCAUGAAUUGCAGCUGCAGUAUAGGAAGGAAUACCAGAUGAAGUGCUGCAGUUUCUUCUGCAGUUGUCAUUCCCCAACAUUUCCGAGCACACAGAUCCCAUCUGGCUGAAAGUUCUUGGUUGAAAUGGGGAACUGGGGCACUGAUCCCUCUUGGAUCCUCUUCCGUCGUUGUCUGUGUAUGCUGUGUCUCUCAGAAGUAGAGGCAUCCUACCCAG
RNAcentral lists this unclassified non-coding RNA (228 nucleotides) under Hevea brasiliensis (rubber tree). Lineage: Eukaryota; Viridiplantae; Streptophyta; Magnoliopsida; Malpighiales; Euphorbiaceae. The record is from RNAcentral.